UUUCCGUAGGUGAACCUGCGGAAGGAUCAUUAUUGAAUAUCCGAGGUGUGAUGGCUGUCGCUGUCCCGAAAGGGUGUGCACGUCCGAGCGCUCUAUCACUCAUACCUCUCACCCCUAUGUGCACCACCGCGUGCGUCUCCCUCUUGCUUUUUUGGUGGGGGCCUUACGGUUUCACACAUUCUUUUUAUGCAGUGUAGAAUGUAUUUUUUGUUUUUUCGAUCACCCAAUCAAUACAACUUUCAACAACCGUUCUCUAGGCUCUCGCAUCGAUGAAGAAUC
This 279-nucleotide unclassified non-coding RNA is filed under the name plant metagenome. Its description in RNAcentral is "partial contains small subunit ribosomal RNA, internal transcribed spacer 1, and 5.8S ribosomal RNA". The record is from RNAcentral.